UUUUUUAACCAUUAAAGCUUAUGUUUCCUUAUCCUUUAUCCUUUGUUAUGCAUACUUAAUAAGAUUAAAACCUAAUUUUAACAAAACAGAAAUAUUCUUGGCCCAUUGAACUUUUAACCUCCAAACUUAUUCCAUUGGGCUUUUAUUCAUCAACAUGGACUUUGGCUUGCUUGAAGUAUGUUGAACAGCUUUAAGUCUUCUUGCUUCCAUGAAAUUGGCUUGUUCAAGUCAUGCAUAUUUUGUUUAC
This 247-nucleotide long non-coding RNA is filed under the name Ricinus communis (castor bean). RNAcentral's name for it is "long non-coding RNA (RCOM_LNC003349)". The record is from RNAcentral. Lineage: Eukaryota; Viridiplantae; Streptophyta; Magnoliopsida; Malpighiales; Euphorbiaceae.